This 1657-nucleotide long non-coding RNA is filed under the name Homo sapiens (human). Its description in RNAcentral is "HSALNT0255257". Lineage: Eukaryota; Metazoa; Chordata; Mammalia; Primates; Hominidae. The record is from RNAcentral.
GGCUGAGCUUUGGAGAGUGCCAAGACAUGGUGAUAGCUGAGAUUCUUUGUGGCCCUCAAAGAAAUAGUUUUCUUCCCCUUGGGAGCAAUGUUAACCCUGUUGAGGCACGGAAGAGAGUAUGAAAAGACAAAAAGAGAGAUUCUAUAGUAGAGAAACCUGGCAGAUACCACCUUAACCGAGGCUAGCAUUGUCAAUAAAAGGCAUGUUCACGUGGAUAUCAUACACACACCCCCAUAGGAUGUGACUAGAAAGGCACCUAGCCUUUGUGAUAUUCUUUUUUUUUUUUUAGAUGGAGUCUUGCUCUGUCACCCAGGCUGGAGUGCAGUGGCUCGAUCUCAGCUCACCGCAACCUCCACCACCCAGGUUCAAGCGAUUCUCUGGCCUCAGCCUCCCAAGCAGCUGGGAUUACAGGCGUGUAAUUACAGGUCCGGCACCACCAUGCCCGGGGUCUUGCUCUGGCGACCAGACUAGAGUACGGUGGCACAAUCUCAGCUCGCUGCAACCUCCACCUCCAGAGUUCAAGCGAUUUUCCUACCUCAGCCUCCCGAGUAGCUGGGAUUGCAGGCAUGCACCACCAUGCCCAGCUAAUUUUUGCAUUUUUUAGUACAUGUUGAUCUCAAUCUCCUGACCUCAAGUGAUCCUGCCGCCUCGGCCUCCCAAAGUACUGGGAUUACAGGCAUGAGGCACUGCGCCUGGCCUAUGAUGAACUGUCCUUCUAAAACGGGGAAAUAUGGACACAGGCACAUACAGAGGAAGACAGCUGAAGACACAGGGAAGAGGGGACCAGAUAUAAACUAAGAAGAGACACCUGCAGUGGAUCCUUCCCCCACAGCCCAGAAGGAAGUAACUCUGCCGACACGUUGAUCCUGGACUUCCAGCCUCCAGAACUGGGACAGAAUGGAUUUCUGUUAUUUAAGCUCCCCUCUCCCCAGCCAGUGGUGCUCAGUUACUGCCGCCAGGCAAAUUCCAUCACUACCUGAAUGCAGUGUGGGAUCCUGGAUGGGAUCUUGCCACAGAAAAAGGACACCCAUGGAAAAACUAAUGAAAUCCGAACGAGAUCUAUAGUUUCUAGUUCAGAGUAUUGCACCAAUAUUAAUUUCUUCACUUUGACAUAUGUACAAUGGUAAUGCAAGAUGUUAACAUCGGCUGGUUGUGGUGGCUCACACCCAUAAUCCCAGCACUUUGGGAGGCCAAGGUAGGUGGAUCACCUGAGGUCAGGAGUUUGAGACCAGCCUGGUCAAUAUGGUGAAACCCCGUCUCUACUAAAAAUACAAACAUUAGCCAGGCAUGGUGGCACCCGCCUGUAAUCCCAGCUACUCAGGAGGCUGAGGCGGGAGAAUUGCUUGAACCCGGGAGGCAGAUGUUGCAGUGAGCCGAGAUCACGCCAUUGCACUCCAGCCUGGGCGACAGAGCAAGACUCUGCUUCAAAAAAAAAAAACAAAAACAAAAACAAAAAGAUGUUCACAUUAAAGGAAGCUGGGCAAAAGAUAUAGAGAAGGCUCUGUACUAUCUUUGCAACUUAUCUGUAAUCUAAAACGAUUGCAAAGUAAAAAGUUUGAAAAAAGACUCAAUAAACCUAUUUAGGAUUCCACUCUUUAGGAUUCCACUUAUAUGAGCUACCCAGAGAAAUUUAUAAUGAAAGAAAGUAGAGGCCAGG